RNAcentral lists this ribosomal RNA (253 nucleotides) under uncultured bacterium. RNAcentral describes it as "partial 16S ribosomal RNA". It matches the Rfam family "Bacterial small subunit ribosomal RNA", at positions 524 to 776 of the family's 1533-position model. The record is from RNAcentral.
UACGUAGGGGGCAAGCGUUGUCCGGAUUUAUUGGGCGUAAAGAGCGUGUAGGCGGCCUUACAGGUCAGCUGUGAAAACUCGAGGCUCAACCUCGAGACGCCGGUGGAAACCAUCAGGCUAGAGUCCGGAAGAGGAGAGCGGAAUUCCUGGUGUAGCGGUGAAAUGCGCAGAUAUCAGGAAGAACACCCGUGGCUAAGGCGGCUCUCUAGUACGGUACUGACGCUGAGACGCGAAAGCGUGGGGAGCGAACAGG